This 459-nucleotide ribosomal RNA is filed under the name uncultured bacterium. RNAcentral describes it as "SSU rRNA". It matches the Rfam family "Bacterial small subunit ribosomal RNA", at positions 26 to 518 of the family's 1533-position model. The record is from RNAcentral.
AGAAUCAACGCUGGCGGCGUGCCUAACACAUGCAAGUCGCACGAGAAAGGGGAGCAAUCCCUGAGUACAGUGGCGCACGGGUGAGUAACACGUGAAUAAUCUACCUCCGAGUGGGGAAUAACUGAGAGAAAUCUUAGCUAAUACCGCAUAAUACCCACGGGUCAAAGCAGCAAUGCGCUUGGAGAGGAGUUCGCGGCAGAUUAGUUAGUUGGCGGGGUAAUGGCCCACCAAGACGAUGAUCUGUAUCCGGCCUGAGAGGGCGCACGGACACACUGGAACUGAAACACGGUCCAGACUCCUACGGGAGGCAGCAGUGGGGAAUUUUGCGCAAUGGGGAAACCCUGACGCAGCAACGCCGCGUGGAGGAUGAAGCCCCUUGGGGUGUAAACUCCUUUCGAUCGGGAAGAUAAUGACGGUACCGAUAUAAGAAGCCCCGGCUAACUUCGUGCCAGCAGCCGC